Molecule: ribosomal RNA, 537 nt
Filed under: Triticum aestivum (bread wheat)
Lineage: Eukaryota; Viridiplantae; Streptophyta; Magnoliopsida; Poales; Poaceae
Description: partial small subunit ribosomal RNA
Source: RNAcentral
AUGCACUCAUACCCCGUGACCCAGCUGCCCCAUCCGCCCGAACGGGACACAAUUCGAAAUGUGAAUCCCCUCCGGCAGACGCAGCCUCGUCGCCGGGAACCAGAUCGACCUUCCAUCAUAUCAACGCCCGGGUCUACAGAUUUCUUCGCGAUUUGCCCAAUGGAUCUUGGUGCGGAGUCAUUCACACGGAUCUCCGGUUCAGGUUUCUCCUCUCAUAAGCUCCUCUGUUUCUUGCAUCGUCUUCUCCGUCAAAUCCUUCAAUCUCCAUCUUGUCGUGUCCAUGUGCAGCUUCUGUUCCCAGCCGAGGGCGUCCCAGAUUUGGGAUUGCUAGAGAAGAAGGAGUACGGCGUGCUAGAGGAGGAGGAGGCGACGACUGUGUUCCUACGAAUUUACAGAGGGGUUCGCCUUCUUCAAGCCAAGAUGGAGAGAAAGAUGGUGUUACGGAUUCUGGAUCUCAAGUUCCUGAGGCCACGCAAGAUUUUUCUGGCGUCCCGGAUAUUGACAACAUCGAUAGCCACCGAGAGAGCGCUCAUUUGA